CCUCAUUAGGCAACAGCCUUUUCUGAUUGAAAAUAGAUCAGAAAAGAAAGAAAAAUAGCCAGUGGGUUGAGAGCAGGAUAUUGCCUUCACGAGCUAUUGCAACCAAAACAACAUGUGGCCCCCAUUUGCAGCAGUAGCGGGAACGAUGAAAGCAAGGACCGGGGGCUGCCAGGAAGAUAAAGUUUCCUUUUAAGUACUUACGUCAAGGAAUCAGCGGCCUCCAUUUACGGGAGCGGUGACAGCGAUGACCGGGGGAAGCUUUGUAAUUGAAGAAUGCAACCAGGAGUUAACCUGAAGGAGCUGUGUAAUUUUAAUGACGUUGAGUUAAGACAUGAGAUGGAGAUAUGCAUUCUUAUGAGUGCCACCUUCACUCAUUUGACUGUGGUAUUAAAGAAUUGAUGAUGGAACUUUAUUCUUAAAAGAUAAGUGACCAGUACAAUGACCAGUAUUGUCAGAGUGGUCAGCUAUAAAGACUUUGUUGAUGGAGUUGUGCUUGGCAGAUUUCCAAAUUGACCAAUGGAUUUAAUUCAGCAGGGGUUGUCGACACAGCAAUCAAGGGGACUGUAAGCUUUGCUACGAUUAACAGAUUCAAGCAGCAAAUAGAAGACUGCAACUUUUGUGAAAUUUGUGAAUGGCUUGAAGAAAAACAGUUUUAUAAAGGGUGCUGAUGAAUUUUUAGUCCAUAGAGGAUUAAAGUUUC
This is a non-coding RNA of Chiloscyllium plagiosum (whitespotted bambooshark), 700 nucleotides long. Lineage: Eukaryota; Metazoa; Chordata; Chondrichthyes; Orectolobiformes; Hemiscylliidae. The record is from RefSeq and is a predicted model, not a curated record.